CCUACGGGAGGCAGCAGUGGGGAAUAUUGCACAAUGGGGGAAACCCUGAUGCAGCAACGCCGCGUGAAGGUAGACGGUUUUCGGAUUGUAAACUUCUGUUCUUCGUGAAGAAUAAUGACGGUAGCUAAGGAGCAAGCCACGGCUAACUACGUGCCAGCAGCCGCGGUAAUACGUAGGUGGCAAGUGUUGUCCGGAAUGACUGGGUGUAACGGGAGCGCAGGCGGGAAGCCAAGUCAGCUGUGAAAACUACGGGCUUAAUGUGUAGACUGCAGUUGAAACUGGUUUGCUUGAGUGAAGUAGAGGUUGGAGGAAUUGCGGGUGUAGCGGUGAAAGGCGUAGAUAUUCGGAGGAACACCGGGGGCGAAGGCGGCCAACUGGGCUUUAACUGACGCUGAGGCUCGAAAGUGUGGGGAGCAAACAGGAUUAGAUACCCGAGUAGUC
Molecule: ribosomal RNA, 441 nt
Filed under: uncultured bacterium
Lineage: Bacteria
Description: partial 16S ribosomal RNA
Rfam family: Bacterial small subunit ribosomal RNA
Source: RNAcentral